Molecule: ribosomal RNA, 406 nt
Filed under: uncultured bacterium
Lineage: Bacteria
Description: partial 16S ribosomal RNA
Rfam family: Bacterial small subunit ribosomal RNA
Source: RNAcentral
AUUGAACGCUGGCGGCAGGCCUAACACAUGCAAGUCGAACGAGUGCCGGACGGGUGAGUAAUGUCUGGGAAACUGCCCGCUGGAGGGGGAUAACUACUGGAAACGGUAGCUAAUACCCCGUACCAUCGGAUGUGCCCACAUGGGAUUAGCUAGUAGGUGGGGUAAAGGCUCACCCAGCCGACGAUCCCUCGCUGGUCUGAGAGGAUGACCAGCCACACUGGAACUGAGACACGGUCCAGACUCCUACGGGAGGCAGAAGUGGGGAAUAUGGCACAAUGGGCGCAAGCCUGAUGCAGCCAUGCCGCGUGUAUGAAGAAGGCCUUCGGGUUGUAAAGUACUGUCAGCGGGGAGGCGUUACCCGAAGAGGAAGCACCGGCUAACUCCGUGCCAGCAGCCGCGGUAAUAC